RNAcentral lists this transfer RNA (87 nucleotides) under Pedobacter sp. RNAcentral's name for it is "tRNA-Leu". It matches the Rfam family "tRNA". From Rfam's summary of the family: Transfer RNA (tRNA) molecules are approximately 80 nucleotides in length. Their secondary structure includes four short double-helical elements and three loops (D, anti-codon, and T loops). Further hydrogen bonds mediate the characteristic L-shaped molecular structure. tRNAs have two regions of fundamental functional importance: the anti-codon, which is responsible for specific mRNA codon recognition, and the 3' end, to which the tRNAs corresponding amino acid is attached (by aminoacyl-tRNA synthetases). tRNAs cope with the degeneracy of the genetic code in two manners: having more than one tRNA (with a specific anti-codon) for a particular amino acid; and 'wobble' base-pairing, i.e. permitting non-standard base-pairing at the 3rd anti-codon position. Lineage: Bacteria; Pseudomonadati; Bacteroidota; Sphingobacteriia; Sphingobacteriales; Sphingobacteriaceae. The record is from RNAcentral. RNAcentral also lists the same sequence under 2 other names.
GCCGGGAUGGCGGAACUGGUAGACGCGGCGGACUCAAAAUCCGUUGCCCUUGCGGGCGUGUCGGUUCGAUUCCGACUCUCGGCACCA